This 354-nucleotide ribosomal RNA is filed under the name uncultured bacterium. RNAcentral's name for it is "bacterial SSU rRNA". It matches the Rfam family "Bacterial small subunit ribosomal RNA", at positions 29 to 372 of the family's 1533-position model. The record is from RNAcentral.
AACGAACGCUGGCGGCGUGCCUAACACAUGCAAGUCGAGCGAGAACGGGGGGCAACCCCCUAGUACAGCGGCGCACGGGUGAGUAACACGUAGGUACCUACCUCCGAGCUUGGGAUAACCUGCCGAAAGGUGGGCUAAUACCGGAUAUGACCACGGGAGUUUCGGCUCCUGCGGUGAAAGGUGCCUCUGCUUGCAAGCUACCACUCAGAGAUGGGCCUGCGCGCCAUUAGCAGUUGGUGGGUACGGCCACCAAGGCUAUGAUGGCUAGCUGGUCUGAGAGGAUGGCCAGCCACACUGGGACUGACACACGGCCCAGACUCCUACGGGAGGCAGCAGUGGGGGAUAUUGCGCAAU